AAAUAUGAAUCAUUUAAUUAAUGAAUUUAAUUUCGACUUAAAAUAAGAGAUUUUAAUCUCCAUAUUUA
RNAcentral lists this transfer RNA (68 nucleotides) under Polycentropus flavomaculatus. Its description in RNAcentral is "tRNA-Arg". The record is from RNAcentral. Lineage: Eukaryota; Metazoa; Arthropoda; Insecta; Trichoptera; Polycentropodidae.